AUGUUCAUUUUUGAGAUUUUAUCUGUUUGUAAUUUGUUAAUAGCGCUAUUCAUUGAUGGAGUCUUUGUGGUUAAUGACUCAUACUUCAGAAGGUUGAAUGUAACAUGUCAUACCUUUCUUUCCAAGGUAAAUAGAACUCUUCCCAAAUAUGGAAAUGAAUGCAAAAUUACUUCAUAUGCUUCAAUUGUGAGCCCGUCUAGGCGGCGGCGGCACUCCUCCGUCUAG
Vicia faba (fava bean) is the source of this 225-nucleotide non-coding RNA. NCBI's taxonomy places the organism in Eukaryota, Viridiplantae, Streptophyta, Magnoliopsida, Fabales, Fabaceae. The record is from the annotation of a GenBank genome assembly.